GGGGACAAUGACAUAUAAGAGUCGUUGUGUAGGCCUUGAAAGUUCAGAAGGAAUGAGACUUUCGACUUAGGGUUUAAGGAAAAAUGAUUCUGGAAUUCGAAUGGGAUCAUCAAGUAAGAAACUAUAUAAAAUACUAGAACAAGAGAUGUCAAAGAAACCAGUGAACAACCAUCCUCCAAUGGGUCCUUUUUGGCUUGACUAGUAUUUGAUCCAUGCUGGUCUCUGGUCAAAGGUGAUAUCAGGAAAUGACUUUAUAAACUAAUGGGUUAAGAAUAUAUCUAGAGCUGACUUAUUCAAUUAAUGGGUUGAGCUGGGUUGCCAUGUUAGAUCGAGUAUGAUUUCAUAAGAGGAAUUUUAGGCUAACCUUUAUUAGUUGUAAUGAGAAAAGAUCCAAUUAGGCGAGAUCUAUAUGUGAUUUAAUUGGACUUUUGGUCUUAGUUCGGUACCAACACUGAGCAAUGAGUCCCGAUCUGGUUGUGGAUAUAAACCUAUUCAGUUUAGCUCCAAGAUAUAACUCCAGCUUGGUGCCUAUUUUCUUGACUGGGGGGCCGGGAUAUAUUUCUCUACAAAUAUUUUUCUUCUCAAUCAAAUCAUAUUUGUACCCUUUUGUUUCAUUGUAGCAACAAUUAUUCUCUUGCCAACAAAUCUUAAUAUGAUGAUUCUAGCCCUUAGAUGAGUAGACUCCUGAUGGAUGCUCCACU
Molecule: long non-coding RNA, 701 nt
Filed under: Elaeis guineensis (African oil palm)
Lineage: Eukaryota; Viridiplantae; Streptophyta; Magnoliopsida; Arecales; Arecaceae
Description: long non-coding RNA (EGUI_LNC043809)
Source: RNAcentral